UGGCGGAGAAAAUAUUACAAUUGUUAUUAAUAAAUACUAUUUUUGAGCAGACAAACUAUAGAAGUAUUUUUCAUCGGUUGAACAUUUUUAUAAUAUGACAAUCUAUUCUUUUGUGUUCUUUUGGUUCAUGGAGAACCACAUCCAACCCCGCACAUACACAUGCUUUAUAAAAAAAAAAAAUUGUCAAGUUCGCUCACACAUUUAUAAUCUAAUCCUCGCCGAGUCGCCGGACGGCUGCCAGAAAUACCACCUCUACUGCUCACCAUCGCUACUCAUAUACAUGUGUGCGCCACUGUAGCAUAGCAGUGGAAGCAACGUAGAUUGUUUUUAUUCAUUAUCUUGUUAAAAAAAAAAAGUUGUAGUGUUGUGCCCUAGUAUAUAAGGCAAUGGAAAAUCAUAUCAAUAAACAAAGAAAAUAAUAAAAAAAGCCAUAUUGUGCCCAGGGCUAAUAUUAAAACACUCAGAAUAAAUGAAUUCUGUUUGGAUAAAUUUGUGGUUCAGCAAAAUGGCAGCAGCCGACUCACCAACGGACGACAGUCUUUAUCCAAUUGCAGUUCUGAUCGAUGACUUAUAAAAUGAAAAUUUACAACUGCGAUUAAAUUCAAUCAAAAAACUUUCAACGAUUGCCUUGGCACUUUGUGCUGAACAUACUCGUUGUGAGUUGAUACAUUUUGUUCCAUUGGUACAACGUUUGGCAUCUGGUGAUUGGUUUACGUCAAGAACAUCGACAUGUGGUUUAAUAAGUGUAUCUUAUCCACGUGUAAGUACAGCAACAAUAGCUGAAUUAAGAAAUCAUUUUUGUAAUUUAUGUCAAUUGACAUCUUAAGAUGAUACACUAAUGGGGCGACGUUCAGCAUCAUCGAAAUUGGGAGAAUUUGCGAAAGUUGUUAAAAUUGAGUAUUUAAAAUCUGAUUCAAUUCUAAUGUUUGUUAUACUUGCACGAGAUGAACAAGAUUCUGUUCGUUUAUUAGCUGUUGAUGCAUGUGUUAGUAUAUUGCAACAUUAUUACAACGAGAAGAUGUUGAACAACGUGUUAUGCCAAAAUUACGUCAAUGUGCUGCUGAUUUAUCAUGGCGUGUACAUUAUAUGAUUGAUGAUAAAUUUAUAGAUCUUGGAAAAGCAGUUAAUUAUAAACGUACCACAUUCCGAAAAUAUAAUUUUAGUUUUUCUGAGUCAUUAAAUGUGAUGGUUAGUUUAAAUAAAUAUAUUUGAUAAAAUUGAUGAACAUA
Molecule: long non-coding RNA, 1229 nt
Filed under: Aphidius gifuensis
Lineage: Eukaryota; Metazoa; Arthropoda; Insecta; Hymenoptera; Braconidae
Description: uncharacterized LOC122849957
Source: RNAcentral